UCCCUGAGGUGCGGCCCCUCACAUUCACACCAACACACUGCAAAAAAACUUGGAACGCGAAAAUGCAGCUACACGUCUGCGCCGCAAUUAUGGCAAUCAUCUUGGUUCUAGGGUGUCAGGCAGAAAGGGAGAGUGAGAAAAAGUCGCAAGGCCCGGGCCAGCUGGCUGAACGCCUACAGAUGCCGGCGGCCGGCCAGAAGAUCGUCGACAAGAUUAAGGAAAAAGUAGGAAACCUUCAAGGAGGAGGCGGGCCAAUGGGUGCCAUCAAAGGAGUGUUAAAAAAGCUCAAGCCGGGAGGAAACAGGGAUUAAACGGCUCCAGGAAUGUCGUCUUGCGUGUGACCAUUUGGAACGAAAAAAUAAAAGGGGAAAAGGCUAAUUGUU
This is a long non-coding RNA of Ornithodoros turicata, 383 nucleotides long. RefSeq lists it as uncharacterized. NCBI's taxonomy places the organism in Eukaryota, Metazoa, Arthropoda, Arachnida, Ixodida, Argasidae. The record is from RefSeq and is a predicted model, not a curated record. The transcript is spliced from 2 exons.